This 793-nucleotide long non-coding RNA is filed under the name Anas platyrhynchos platyrhynchos (common mallard). Its description in RNAcentral is "lncRNA (ENSAPLG00000021799.1)". Lineage: Eukaryota; Metazoa; Chordata; Aves; Anseriformes; Anatidae. The record is from RNAcentral.
AUGCUCAGGAGCACCCAGGGGUGCUGUGCCGUAGAAAAGGGGCACCCAGGGGUGCUGGUCCCACCUCGGGGCACCCAGGGGUGCCCAUCCCAUCCCCAGGAGCACCCAGGGGUGCUGUCCCGUAGAAAGGGGGCACCCAGGGGUGCCAGUCCCAUCCGCAGGGGCACCCAGGGGUGCUGGUCCCACCUCAGGGGGCACCCAGGGGUGCCCACCCCAUCUCUAGGAGCACCCAGGGGUGCUGGUCAUCUUUCUCGGGGGCACCCAGGGGUGCCCAUCCCCUUCCCAGGAGCACCCAGGGGUGCUAUACCAUACCCAGGGGGCACCCAGGGGUGCCACUCCUAUUCCCUGGGGCACCCAUGGGUGCUCCGUUGUGCUUUGGGGCACCCAGAGGUGCCCGACUCCUGCCCCAGGGACACCCAGGGGUGCCGGUCCCGUGCCUAGAGGCACCCAUGGGUGCCCAGGGGUUGCCCAGUCUUGCUCAUCCCGUCCCCACGAGCACCCAUGGGUGCCUGUACCCAACCCAAUGAGUCUUGGAGGACUCCAGGAGCACCCAUGGGUGCCCAUACUCAACCCAAUGAGUCUUGAAGGACCAGGGGCACCCAUGGGUGUCCGUAUCCAACCCCACAAGUCUUGGAGGGUCCCAAGAGCACCCAAGGGUGCCCAAACCCAACUGGAGAAGUCUUGGAGGACCCCAGGAGCACCCAAGGGUGCCCAUACCCAACCCCACGAGUCUUGGAGGGUCCCAAGAGCACCCAUGGGUGCCCAUACCCAACCCCACGAGUCUUGGAGGGUC